This is a long non-coding RNA of Pipistrellus kuhlii (Kuhl's pipistrelle), 521 nucleotides long. RefSeq lists it as uncharacterized. The record is from RefSeq and is a predicted model, not a curated record. NCBI's taxonomy places the organism in Eukaryota, Metazoa, Chordata, Mammalia, Chiroptera, Vespertilionidae. The transcript is spliced from 3 exons.
CUGCCUCUUGUUCCUAGCGGUUCGGGGCGGCCCGGGAACACCUUGGGUACCUUUGUUUUGUGACCAGCAAAUCACACUUAACAGGAGGAAAGGCACGAGGACCAAUUUCAAAAAGGAAAAAUAGGAUAAUCAUCUCCACAGCAACUAUUAUAUCACAGAGGACGAUGCCUGCGAGUGAGAAGUGAUCAGCAGGAGCUGAGCAACACUUAAGCAGCAGAGAUUCUAUUUUCAUACAAAUAUUUCUAAUUAUAAUAAGCUGAGGAAGAAAUAUAUCAUUCUUCCCCUCACCACCUCCUCCAAUACAAGCAGAGCUAUUGCUACAUGGUUUCUCACAAAAAUAGGGUAACUUCAGCUACAGAAAGACUUAAUAAGAGCAUAUCAUCUCUAUGUAGAGACGAUACCACCUCUUAUUGCCAGGCACACAAGACCUUACUAAAGGAUAAGGGAUAAUACAAAGAAUAUAACAUUAUGAACCACAGGCUACUAGGUAAUUGCUCAGGGCCUACAAGCUCAGCCUAAGG